AGUGUACUAUUUAUCUACAGCAAAAGGAAUCUAAGAGAUAACCACCUAUACACUUGUCUCUAUUCUAUUGGUUAUUUUAUAACUACUCACAUGUUAUUUAUAAUAAUAAAAGAAUGUGUAAAAUAAAUAUGGCUUCAUCUUCGGCUGGCCCAACACUAAUAACCCAAGCUCUAAAUAUUGUGAAAAGCCCAAUACCUGGUAGGCCCAGCUGUGUGUCCAAAAAGAUGUUCAGACAACAUCAAUUAUAUCGAAGUUUCUUAGUGGACCACUUUUCUCUUCUUCUUCAUCUCUACUUUAUUCUUCUUCUUCAUCUCCUUCGUUUCUUCUUCUUUCUCCAUGAAUCAUAUAAUUAGGAUGGGGUUUCUUCUUCUCAACACUAGGUGGGGAAGGAUGUCACACAGUGGUUUUUGUUUUAAUUAUUACAAAGUACACAUGUCAUUCAUUAAUGGGUUCAUUUGAUAUAUAUUGGCAAGUGUAACUCAAGCAUUUGGUUUGCUCAACUGGAAUAUUUACUUGAUAUAUUUAAUAGCAACUUGAAGUAUUUGAUUGCUAGAGGGGCCAGUUGAGGCAUCUGUAUGAUUGUUAAUGACAACUUAAAGGAGGCGUUUAUGUAUUUUGCCUACCCAAAAUAAUACAUUCAUUCUUGUGAGAGACUAAAUCCAUUUUCAUCGAGUUUGGAAGCUGGAAAGAGUAAUCUUGGUUAUAACUUAUACUCUGUAAUAAAUAAGAAGAAGAAAAACCUCAUUUCUCAAUGUAAAUGUCACUGACAUGGGAGAAAAAGAAAACCAUUAAUCAAAGAAAGGGGUUUUAAGUUAAAAAAAUAUAAAAGAUGAUAGAAGUAUAGUGCUACGGUGGCAUCCUUGUUUUCUUGUUCUUUUUUUUUCUUCUUUCUUUUUUGCUGAAAGCAUUCUUAGUUCAGGAAAGAAUAAUGUGCGGGUGAUCAACAGAAAAGCCAAAAAGAAAAAAGAAAACAAAAUUGUUACCUCAAUGCUGUGUAUAAAGGUUCAUGGCAUUUUGAUGCCUCAAUACAAAGGCACGAUUCCUUAAGAAAGACAUUAUUCAAGUAAAUAGGAGUCAUUGCUUCGACGAUUGUCUUCUCUGCUAUAAUUUCAUGUUUUGUGCAGGCCUUGUACAAUUUAGUAGCAGCGCGAGAUAAGCUAGUUGGGGGCAAUAAACACACAGUGUUAGUUUUUAAAUGGAUGGAGGCUAAAAUUGUCAAAUUUUACUUAAAGGACUAAAACUGAUAUGUGUAUAUUUAAAGGACCAUCAUCAAUCUACUUUCAAAGAUAAAGGACCCUUUUUAUCAUUUUCUCUUAAAAUAUACGAAGAGGGGCCUACUUGAACAGUAAGUGGCUAUUUUAAAAUGUCAUAGUAACACGUGACAUGGAAAGUAGCAAACUUAUCAAGUGUGUACAAGUAAUAAAGCUAGCAAGUAUAAUAUCUUGAAAGCAUAUAAACUAUAAAAUGUCAAAAAUGUCCCUAUGCCAGCCACAUAUUGACCAUGAGGUGCCUUGUUAUAUCCACUUAGGGGUCGUUUAUUAGAAAAAAUAAUGCAAGUAUUAGUUGUGUGCAUUAUUAAUAACUUGUUUGGUACAUUUUUUCAACUUGUAUAUAACUAAUGCUUGUAUUAGUUAUACAACAUACUUGUAUUAACCUGUGUAUAAAUAAUGCAUAGAAAACUAUGAUAUUAGUAAUACCAAGGGUGUUAAUGCAUGCAUUAGCAUAGUUAAAGACAAAAUUAUCCUUGAAGCCCCUUAAAGCUAGAUAAUAUAGAGGGCAUUUUUGUAAAAAAAUAUUUUUCUUAAAAUUAUAAUGCAUUAAAAUUUUUAAUACACCACACCAAACAAUAGAUAAGAAAUAACAUCUGCAUAACUAAUGUUUACAUUACUAACACAUACAUUACUAAUAUUAGCAUUACUAAUAUAUCUUAUUCCGCAAUAUUUUUAUACACCCUACCAAAUGACCCCUUAUAGUACAGGGGAGAACUAGAUAUUCCUUGAAUAAUUAACUAAAAAAUAUAGAGAUGAGUGGUUGAGCAGUUAGUUUGUUUUCAACCAGUUAAUAGUAUAGUCAAACUUUAUUUCCCCCUUUCGGAAAGCAACCGGCGUCCAGCGACCGGAGUCCGGCAAGAUCAAACCUCCGUCACACCUCGGCAGCGGCACUUUGUAGACCUAUCUCUUUAACUCCGUUAACUGUAAAGGUCUUCUUCACCUCUUUCUAUUGACCAAUAUAGAUUCGAUUCAUUUCAAGCAUACUUUGACUUUGAUUCUUUUAUGAUUUCUGUUUUUCACAAAUUAGUAGGACCUAGGAUUCAUAUUUAUGUGAGCUCAAUUAUAAAUACUACCACUAAUAAUGAUAAUUAAGUAUUUAUUUGUAUAAUUGUAUUAAACAAAUAUGGAAGUGUAACAAACGGAAUAACAACCAAACCAACUAGCUAUAUUGAUUCACUGAACGGACUUACAAAUAACUAGAAAUUGCAAUGAAACAAUAAGGGAUAACAUAGAGAGAUGAGAGGACAGAAAUACACACCAUAGAAGGAGAUGAGAAGCUUAGGCGGAAAGAGACGAGAAGUACAGCUUUUCACAUAACAUUUUGGCUAAUCUUCCAAACAUAACCCCUUUUAUUCACUUAGUCACGUGCUUUCUUAACCUGGAUCCCAGACAAAUCUCUUGUUGGGCUUUCUAAAUCUUGGACCUCUUCGCGGUUUAGCCCCCGGCCCAAUAGCCUCUGUCAUGCAAAAAUCAUUAGGAACAAUAUCAUAGUUUGGUUUGCAGCUUGGAGUAGUGUAGACUUGGUUUCAUUAAAAUUNNNNN
RNAcentral lists this long non-coding RNA (2813 nucleotides) under Nicotiana tabacum (common tobacco). RNAcentral's name for it is "long non-coding RNA (NTAB_LNC002020)". Lineage: Eukaryota; Viridiplantae; Streptophyta; Magnoliopsida; Solanales; Solanaceae. The record is from RNAcentral.